CAACCUUCAAGCUCUGCUUGGUAUUGAGUGUCACCAUUCAUGGUGCACCUGAAAUGCAGUGGCGGUGCCAUCGGCCUCCAGCGUAAGUCAUAUUUCUCGCUGUGGCGGCUUCGGUACGUGCUUGCCAGCAAGCCCUAAUUUAUUCAAA
Molecule: unclassified non-coding RNA, 148 nt
Filed under: uncultured Helotiales
Lineage: Eukaryota; Fungi; Ascomycota; Leotiomycetes; Helotiales
Description: sequence contains ITS2
Source: RNAcentral